GGUUGAUCCCGCCGGAGGUCACUACUAUUGGGAUUCGACUAAGCCAUGCGAGUCGCGAGGGUUCGGCCCUCGGCUGACGGCUCAGUAACACGCGGAUAAUCUGCCCUUAGGUGGAGGAUAAUCUCGGGAAACUGAGAAUAAUAUUCCAUAGAUUUAGGAUGCUGGAAUGCACUUAAAUUAAAAGCUUCGGCGCCUAAGGAUGAGUGUGCGGACUAUCAGGUUGUACUCACGCUAACGACCUGACUAGCCUNAGAAGGAGUAGGGUUGUGAGAGCAAGAACCCGGACAUGAUAUCUGAUACUAGAUAUUCAGGGUCAUACGUGGCGC
Molecule: ribosomal RNA, 326 nt
Filed under: uncultured archaeon
Lineage: Archaea
Description: bacterial SSU rRNA
Rfam family: Archaeal small subunit ribosomal RNA
Source: RNAcentral